CUUUUUAAAUUAAUACACUUAUUGUGGUUCUCAGCCAAAGAAGAGUGUACAAGAAAUUCUCUUUAUAGCCUGAGGUUCUGCCAAAAGGGAAGUAUGACAUUUGUUUAUGCUUUGACAUUGGUUCAUCCAAGAGCUAGCAGCUUGCUACCACCAUGCACUAGGGAAGGGAUAGCCAGGGUGUGAGGGAGCCUCAUUGGGAAAGGGAGCAAGAGAUGGGAUCUGUGGUGGGUAGAAAAAAUUGGGGUGACAAACCUGAUGGAAACCCUUGCAACUCUGGCUAAAGAGGACAAUCAAAGAAAUGAUGUGUGGCACUACUUUCUGGGGAUCAGUUGGAAAUGUGACUGAGGGUUAGAAAAAUACCAACAUACAUGAGACCUUCUUGAAAUUGAGAUUUUCCUCAGCAGGAUCUAUUGAAGUAUCAAUAAUGUAUUUAUCAAUACCUUGGAAUUGUUACCAUGAUCAACCAAAUGGAUUAUUUAUACAACACAAACACAGCAGUGUUUUUUUCUAGCCAUUUUUCUGUCUGAAUAUUGAGGUAUAGGUAAACUAAAGGAAGAUGCACACGUGUGUAUAUGUGUACAUAGUGCACACAUGUGCAAGAGAGGUAGGAGUAUAUUGUGUAUAUCUGUAGGAAAGCAUUGGAACAUACUCAUAGUAGAGGGAUGAGAAGGAGGACACAUCUGAAUUUGUUAUGAUGAUAAUGAUUUUUUAAACAAAUAGAACUGUUUUAAUAACAAACAUAAUUAAAGAUUAUGAAAUCAUAUUUGAUUUGCAUUAAGAAAACAUAUUCUUCAAGAAAUGAGGGCCAGAGCUCAGAUGAGCAGAACUGGUAGCAUAUUGUGGAAAAACAAAACAUUUUGAUGUUCUAACCCCAAUAAGCUCAACUCCUUUCUAUUUGAAAGCCAAUUGUUUUCAUUGACAGGGUUAAAGCAUUAUACAUGUUUCUUUGUUCAUAGUGUUAAUUUACUAAGAAAAACAUUCUUUCAUGGUAGUAUCAAUUAUGCUUCAGUCCAAUCCACACUUAAAAUUUUUGUUUCCUACUAGUGGGAUCUGAAAUUAUGAUUUAUUAUGAAGCAAUGUCAAAUAAAAACUCAAACUAAAGUGUUUUAUUAUUAAAUUCUAGGUGUUUGUUUUAACUGGGGUUUUGUCCACAUAACCGUGUAACAGCAUAAACCCAUAUUCAUUCUUAAUGCAGUGAACAUUUUUAAAAACUCUAUAAUUUAAUUUUCUUCUGCCUCUUACCCUUUUCUUCACUCAGUGAAUAGGUGAAUUAAGUACUACAUCCUCCUCACAAUUUCCUCCCCUUCCAAUGAACACAGGUUUGCCUAUUCUCUGAAAUAAUUGCCUUCCUUCUUUUUACAUGCAUCAGUAAACUGAGCGACUGUGAAUUGACAUUGGUUAGAGAGGAGGUAAACUUCAGGUUCAGAAGUGUAAAAAAAAAAAAAAAAAACAAAUAAAUGCAGCUGAUUAUGUAAGCUUUAAAAAGACAUUCUUGAUGAUAUUGUUUUAGCAAGAAUUGCUUUCCCAACCAAAUCUAUUAUGAAGCAACAUAACUUUCCAGACCAGGGAACAUCCUCACUUACUGAUCAAGGUCUGAACAACUUUGCUCCUAAAAUCUGCAGCCUAUGAAUGGCCCUUUAGGUGCAGAAAGAAAAGUAUCAUUGGUAUAUAUGAGUGUUGAUCACCCAGGGCUUUUCUCUGUUUCAAUGCGGAUACUGUGGAUGCAUUCAAUUGAUUCUAGAGAAAAUUCAGCUGCAGAUCUAAAUGUUUUCACUAUGAAAAAGUGAAGAAAGAAGAAAUAACUAAAGACUGGCUUGUGCCCAUUGUAUUUUUACUAAAACCAAAUGAAAGAUAUUUUUUAAAAUCCUUCAUUCAUUUACUCUCUUUGACAUUCAUUUACUCUCUUUGAGUUUAACCCAGAGUAAUAAAUGUUAGAAGGAGACAUGUUAGAUGUUGAGGGGAAUAAAACAAGAAGUCAGACCCAUUCAGAUCCAAGGCAGACCCAUUCAGAUCCAAGAAUGACUAGACAGAAAAUAUGGACAUCUGUAGAUAAAUUCUAGAAAAGACCUCAAGUUAAAUGUGAAAAGGACUUAUUUGGAAAGCUGCCAGAAUUGAAUCCUGGAACAGAAAAAAAAGACAGAUAUUAAUGGAAAAACUGAAAAUUCUAGUAAUGUGGCAUUUGGUUAAUGUAUCAGUGUUAGUUCCUAAGUUCUGACAAAUGUACCACAGCAGUGUAAGUAGGGAAAACAAACUGGGUGAACAGUAUGCAGGAACUUUCUAUUAUCUCUCUGCAAGUUUUCUUCAUAUCCAAAAUUAUUACAAGUAAAAUAUAUCUUCUAAAUUAUUCCAAAUAAAGACUCCACUUAAAAAAAUGCUCCAGGAGAAGGCUAUGUGAUCUCUUUUUGUGUUGAUGCUCCAGAGCAUCCUGUUUUGCAAAAAUGAUGCUGAGAGAUCUAUUAGAUCCUUCAGUAAUUGAUCUGGGAAUCAUCCAGGCCUUUCCAUUUUGUUUGAAAAUAAAAUGCACAACCAGUCUUGUAUGAUGUGCAUCAUAAGACUGACAGUUGCAAUGGGGCUGGUGAGAAUUUGGGGUGUUUGUAAGUCCAGGCUUAUUUCUUAGGAACUGGAUACUGAUGCCAUCAUCUUCCAGACAUGCAGGAAUGGUGGCUCUAUGGAAACCCACCUGCUUGAUUCCCAGCAGCAAGGUCAUCUUUAUGUCCUGCUUGAAUUAAAAUGAACUUGGAAAAGCUGCUGAGAUUCCGAAGAUACACUACCCUAUACCGUGUAUAAAUUUCCCCACCACUAAAGAGAGAAGUGCUUUUUUUGUACAAAGAUAUUUUCAAAGUGAGACUACUUAAGCAAACUGUCAAAUAUUGCUCUUCUUGUGGUAAAGAAACCUCCUCAAUGUCAUCUGUUUUUCAUCCAUAUGUGAGAACUCCAGCCUCCAGACAAAUCCUGUGCCAUAUAGAUGUUGGUAGAUGAUUACUGGCAUGGGGUGAUCUGAGGGAAGGGAAAGGCCAGCUUGUCCAGAAAUACCAUCCUGCUAAAGCUGAAAAGGCUUGCAGUUCCCGUUACUCACUCCUUUUGGUUAGGAUGGGUACUAGAAAGCAUCUUUUAAAAUGUUGCUUCAGUGGAGCAAUGUGACAGCAAACAAACCAU
RNAcentral lists this long non-coding RNA (3156 nucleotides) under Marmota monax (woodchuck). The record is from RNAcentral. Lineage: Eukaryota; Metazoa; Chordata; Mammalia; Rodentia; Sciuridae.